RNAcentral lists this ribosomal RNA (463 nucleotides) under uncultured bacterium. Its description in RNAcentral is "bacterial SSU rRNA". It matches the Rfam family "Bacterial small subunit ribosomal RNA", at positions 331 to 792 of the family's 1533-position model. The record is from RNAcentral.
CCAGACUCCUACGGGAGGCAGCAGUGAGGAAUAUUGGUCAAUGGGCGGGAGCCUGAACCAGCCAUGCCGCGUGAAGGCGAGUGCCCUACGGGCGUUAAACUUCUUUUGUGCGGGAGCAAUAAGGGCCACGUGUGGCCCGAUGAGAGUACCGCACGAAUAAGCAUCGGCUAACUCCGUGCCAGCAGCCGCGGUAAUACGGGGGAUGCGAGCGUUAUCCGGAUUUAUUGGGUUUAAAGGGAGCGUAGAUGGGUUGUUAAGUCAGUUGUGAAAGUUUGCGGCUCAACCGUAAAAUUGCAAUUGAUACUGGCAGUCUUGAGUACAGUUGAGGUAGGCGGAAUUCGUGGUGUAGCGGUGAAAUGCUUAGAUAUCACGCAGAACCCCGAUUGCGAAGGCAGCAUGCCGGCUUCCGACUGACGCUGAAGCACGAAAGCGUGGGGAUCGAACAGGAUUAGAUACCCGAGUA